AUCUGGGACCUGCUGCUGGUGUGACCAAAGGCUGGAGGAAGUGGGCCUCCCCAGGGGAGUUGAGAAACCCAGGCUCAGGCUGCACUGGCUUCUCCUGCCCACACGAGCGAGAGAGAUCAAAGACUGAGGACAUGGAGCUGAGCAGAGUUGCCGUGGCCCUGGGGCCCACUGGCCAGCUCCUCCUGUUCCUGAGCUUCCAGACCCUGGCUGCCCAGGCUGCCGACACCUGUCCAGAGGUCAAGGUGGUGGGUCUGGAGGGCUCGGACAAGCUCUCCAUCCUUCGAGGCUGCCCGGGGCUGCCUGGAGCCACCGGGCCCAAGGGAGAGGCGGGCGCCAAUGGACCGAAGGGAGAGCGAGGCUCCCCCGGCGUCGUCGGGAAGGCAGGACCGGCUGGGCCCAAAGGAGACCGAGGGGAGAAGGGCGCGCGUGGAGAGAAAGGAGAGCCUGCGCAGCUCCAGUCAUGUGCCACAGGUGACUGCCCACACGCUGACCUCCAGACCUCAGCCUGGACCCGCCCCUGCUGGGGAGAGGUCGACCAGAAGGCCAGCUGCACAGACUCACCUUCCAGGAUCCAAAGACAAAGCACUCUGCACCCAUGUUACUCCUCAAAGAGUCAAGCGACCGGCAGCUGCUGCCUGGAUGACUCUAGCAUGUUCCAUGGCAAUUCUGGAGGAGUUUAUACCUGCCCCUGCAGGGCCAGGUGCCCAGGAGGCUAAGUGGGGGCAGCCCAGGUGGACCGGGCUGGGCCAUCGCAGCUGGCUGGCCUGGGGGCUGCGGCCCUGCCCAGGCUGCAGGCUUCCCCUCCCCCAGCAGGGGUCCCUGCGUCUCCCUGCCCCACCCCCACCCCCGCUGCCCCUGCCCAGGGCUCCGGCCCUGGCAUCCACCUCCCCGCUUCCCUUCCCAGGACCUCGGACCUGCAAGGAGCUGCUGACCAGGGGGCACUUUCUGAGCGGCUGGCACACCAUCUACCUGCCGGACUGCCAGCCCCUGACGGUGCUGUGUGACAUGGACACGGAUGGCGGGGGGUGGACCGUGAGUGCGGGCUCCCCGAGACGGCCCCGGGGUCUUGGGCGGCGGUGGGCUGUGUGCUCCUGGGAGUCACAGCGGCCGGGUCCUGCGCGGGUGGGAGGGCCCGUGUGGCCGAGGUCCCCGUGCUGGGGACGGCGCCAGGCCCCCGUCUCCCGCCCUCUCCCACCCGCACAGGUUUUCCAGCGCAGGAGCGACGGGUCGGUGGACUUCUACCGGGACUGGGCCGCGUACAAGCGGGGCUUCGGCAGUCAGCUGGGAGAGUUCUGGCUGGGGAACGACCACAUCCACGCCCUGACGGCCCAGGGUAGGGCCUUGGCGGGGGCACUCCGACCUCCACGGGCCCCGGACCUCAGCCCCGGACCAGCCGGAGCCGGCGAUGCCGCCCCCCGCCCCCCGGGUGGUCCCCCCUGACCUCAGGAAGGCUUGUCACCGGGCCGGCCUGGGACAGGUUUUCUCUUCGUCUCGCUGGGUGUUAGAAUCAGAAGCUGGACUGUUAGGGUGUAGACCUCUCUGGUCUCAGGGCCAAGUGUAUCUUAAGCUGGGAUGAGGAAGUGGGGGGCGUCUGGCCUGAGGGGCCCUUCUCCCACUUCCAGCUGUCGGUCCUUCCUUGAGGCUGGGGUCUCAGGCCCCCCGAGCCCCUCCCCGGCCUCUCUCAGUCAGGGCACGCGGGGGUCCCCCGAAGCCACCCUCCCCCUUCUCUGUUCAUAACCCCGGCUUCACGGCUGGUCCUGAGGAAAACCGAGAGGCUGUACAUCCUUUUCGACAUCUUCCGUGACCUUGAAGGUGACCUCUCGUGCCUGGAAAGUCGUGCCAAGGAAACUCUAGACACAGUCACUUAGCACCCUGGCGGCGAGGGGACCAACAGCCACUUGCAGAAUUUACAGUUUCCCAGGGGAGAGAGGCUUCAUUCCAGCCAAGGGACACCAACAUCGCGUUAGGCGUGGCCGAGGGGACAGCAGGGGAGCUAUUUGGAGAGAGGGACUUGUCCCAGGCUCUCACCCACUCCUGGCUGAACCUUCCAGGGCUGCCACGUUCAGACACCCCUUGAGAAUGGCCCCCAGUUCCCACCUCCCACACCUGGAGGGAGAGGCCCUUCUGCUGAGACCCGAACCCCUGCCCCUGCAGGAACCAGUGAGCUCCGGGUGGACCUCGUGGACUUCGAGGGCAACCACCAGUUUGCCAAGUACAGGUCCUUCCAGGUGGCAGGCGAGGCAGAGAAGUACAAGCUGGUCCUGGGAGGCUUCCUGGAGGGCAAUGCAGAGACCAGUUCUUCUCCACCAAAGACCAGGACAACGACAACCAUUCGGGAAACUGCGCGGAGCAGUACCACGGCGCCUGGUGGUACAACGCCUGCCACUCCUCCAACCUGAACGGCCGCUACCUCCGGGGACUGCACACCAGCUAUGCCAACGGCGUCAACUGGAGGUCGGGGAGAGGGUACAACUACAGCUACCAGGUGUCGGAGAUGAAAGUGCGUCUCACGUAGGUGGGGCCCGGCCCGGCUCCUCCCCAUCCACCGGCCUGCAGCCUCCAGAAGCUUCGCUCCGUUCUGCCAGCAUCUCGUCAUCCCUGCCACCCCCUCACUCCCACUCCAUAAACCUGCCUUGCCCAGACCCUUCUCUCCCAUCAGUGUCUGAACGCAUGUGCCCCACGGCCUCACAGAGGAAGAAUCACGUUUCAAAAGUG
Molecule: non-coding RNA, 2715 nt
Organism: Sus scrofa (pig)
Lineage: Eukaryota; Metazoa; Chordata; Mammalia; Artiodactyla; Suidae
Source: RefSeq, a predicted model, not a curated record